RNAcentral lists this long non-coding RNA (735 nucleotides) under Manihot esculenta (cassava). RNAcentral's name for it is "long non-coding RNA (MESC_LNC003196)". The record is from RNAcentral. Lineage: Eukaryota; Viridiplantae; Streptophyta; Magnoliopsida; Malpighiales; Euphorbiaceae.
UGAUUUUAUUUGGUCAUUAUGCUUAUUUUUAUAAUUUUCUUGAUACUUUCUAAAUUUAUGUUUCUUGUAAAUUCUUUCAGAUUUAUAAGGUUUUAUUCUUUUAUGUUUUGGUCCUUUUGUAGUUCCAAAUCCGAAUUGUUCACACCAAUUUCAUAGUUCUUUCCUAGAUUAUCUAUUUUCCAUUUUUAAUUUAUUUUGUAAUUUUAUAUCUCUGCAUAGUCUUAAUCCUGUUAAAUUAACACAUGUUAUUAAGUCUCCGUAUGUUAGGUCAUCAUAUGAAAUAUGCCCAAAUUUUUGUUCUAUUGUUUCUUUAACUUUUGUACAAAAUAAUCUUGGUAAUCCUGUUAGAAAUUUCUCUUUCCAAUGGUAAGCGUUUGGGUCAGCAAGACCGUAAACUCUUUUCAAAAAAUUGUCUUUAUACCAUUUAAAGUUUUCCAAUUUUCUACAUUUGAGAUUUUGUAAAAUUUCGCUAUUCCUUUCUGUAUAAAAGUCUAAGUCUCCUAUGAAAUGUGAUAUGAUAUUAUAAACUAGAUAUGUUAAUAUGAAAGAUUGAGGUUGUCCUGUAGUUGGAUCUAAUAUAAAUUCUCCUGUGGUAUUAUUUAUUCUUCUAGCUGAUAAUAUGUUUUCUUUUAUUUCAUUACUUAAAAGUUUGUCCCAUCAUGUCCUGAGUUCUCCUGUAAAUCCUAGUAUUAUAUUUUCAGCAGCUUCUUUUUCUGUGAUACCUACCCUUUGUUU